GUAGGUGGCAAGCGUUGUCCGGAAUUAUUGGGCGUAAAGCGCGCGCAGGCGGUUCUUUAAGUCUGAUGUGAAAGCCCACGGCUCAACCGUGGAGGGUCAUUGGAAACUGGAGAACUUGAGUACAGAAGAGGAAAGCGGAAUUCCACGUGUAGCGGUGAAAUGCGUAGAGAUGUGGAGGAGCACCAGUGGCGAAGGCGGCUUUCUGGUCUGUAACUGACGCUGAGGCGCGAAAGCGUGGGGGAGCAAACAGGAUUAGAUACCCUGGUAGUCCACGCCGUAAACGAUGAGUGCUAAGUGUUAGGGGGUUUCCGCCCCUUAGUGCUGCAGCUAACGCAUUAAGCACUCCGCCCUGGGAGUACGGCCGCAAGGCUG
Molecule: ribosomal RNA, 372 nt
Filed under: uncultured organism
Description: partial 16S ribosomal RNA
Rfam family: Bacterial small subunit ribosomal RNA
Source: RNAcentral